This 933-nucleotide long non-coding RNA is filed under the name Ornithorhynchus anatinus (platypus). RNAcentral describes it as "lncRNA (ENSOANG00000046892.1)". The record is from RNAcentral. Lineage: Eukaryota; Metazoa; Chordata; Mammalia; Monotremata; Ornithorhynchidae.
UUUGAAUCAUGGCUACUGGAAGCACUGAAGUCUUGUGAGGUGUUAAGAUGCAUUUUGAGAUGACUGGGAUGGCUAAGGUAAGGAUUACGGUGUCGCGAAGCUUCUGGAACAUUUGUCUGAUUUGCUUUUACUGGGCAAACAUGACACCUGUGUCUCAUUUUGAUCAGCACACUGGGAAGAAAUAUAGUCGGCUGUGCUAGAUUCUCUGCUGCUUAAGAUGAAGGGGGGUAUGAGCUACCUUACGCAAAGCUCUCUGGGAAAGGAGGCUUUAACCACUUUUUCCCUUCUUCAUAUCCAUAUUCAGGAGGUCCAGCCCUAAGACAUUGUUUUGGAGUCAUUUUUCUGAAUUCUCAUAACCAUGGAAGGAUGCUUGAUAGUGUGUGCCCCUUUGAACUGAUGAGGAAAUUGAGGUGUGAUUUGCCCUAACCCAGUACUUAGUAGAAUGCUCUAUACAUGGGGAGCUUGGGAGCCGUUUGUUGUAGACUCUGCUGACCACUUUGACAACCGCUGCCUGAAGACUAACAGGCUCCUACUGAUUCGAAGGGCAUCCCAGAUGACAUCAACCUGUUGUGUGAUGAGGAAGCAGCAUGUUCUGGUGGAAAGAGCAUAGGCCUGGGAGUCAGAGGAUGUGAGAACUAAUCCUUGCUCUGCCACAUGUCUGCUGUGUGACCUUGGGCAAGUCACUUCACUUCUCUGUGCCUCAGUUACCUCAUCUGUAAAAUGGAGAUUGAUUGUCAGCCCUGUGUGGGGCAGGGACUGUGUCCAACCUGAUUACCCUGUAUUUACCCCAGCGCUUGGAACAAUGUUUGGCACAUAGUAAGUGCUUAAUAAACACCAUUAUUAUUAUCGGACCAUGGGUGCACCCAGUGUAAUGUAAUGACAUCAUAUGAGGCAGGAGGGAACAGCCAACUUUUCCCUGCCUCAAGGUAGCCA